AUUGAACGCUGGCGGCAGGCCUAACACAUGCAAGUCGCGCGAGCGGCGGACGGGUGAGUCAUGUAUGGGGACUGCCCGAUAGAGGGGUCUAACUACUGUAAACGGUGGCUAAUACCGCAUACUAUCGGAUAACCCAUAUGGGAUUAGCUAGUAGGUGGGGUAAAGGCUCACCUAGGCGACGAGCUCUAGCUGGUAUGAGAGGAUGAUAAGCCACACUGGGACGGAGACACGGCCCAGACUCAUACGGAGGAAGCAGUGGGGAAUAUUGCAAAAUGGGCGAAAGCCUGAUGCAGCCAUGCCGAGGGUAUGAAGAAGGCCUUAGGGUUGUAAAGUACUGUCAGCGGGGAGGCGUUACCCGCAGAAGAAGCACCGGCUAACUCCGUGCCAGCAGCCGCGGUAAUAC
This 403-nucleotide ribosomal RNA is filed under the name uncultured bacterium. RNAcentral's name for it is "partial 16S ribosomal RNA". It matches the Rfam family "Bacterial small subunit ribosomal RNA", at positions 30 to 526 of the family's 1533-position model. The record is from RNAcentral.